AUAAAAUAAAGUGUUAAUUAUUAAAAGAGCUAAGUUCACUAUGUUCAAUAACAGUUUUUAAAUCUUUUAGAAAUCUAUUUUUAGACAGCCUAGAAGAUACAGAAUUUUUCCCAUAAUUGGUACGGUGGUAAGGCACUACAAGCAUUCUAGGCUCUCUAACGUUACAAACGGGUAUAUUUAUUGAAAAUAGCGGAAGAAUAGGAUUACAAUUUACAUUACCAGACAAUAUACGAUAUACGAACGACGCGUCAUAAAAUAUUCUACGAGAAGAUAGUAAGGAUAGUCCUAAAUAACUUAAAAUGUUUAUAUAAUUAUUUUUGUCAUAAAAUAUGUUAAAUUUGUAACAUACAAAUUUAACAAAU
This is a long non-coding RNA of Tribolium castaneum (red flour beetle), 362 nucleotides long. RefSeq lists it as uncharacterized. The transcript has 2 exons. Lineage: Eukaryota; Metazoa; Arthropoda; Insecta; Coleoptera; Tenebrionidae. The record is from RefSeq and is a predicted model, not a curated record.